GAUGAACGCUGGCGGCGUGCCUAAUACAUGCAAGUCGAGCGAACAGACGAGGAGCUUGCUCCUCUGACGUUAGCGGCGGACGGGUGAGUAACACGUGGAUAACCUACCUAUAAGACUGGGAUAACUUCGGGAAACCGGAGCUAAUACCGGAUAAUAUAUUGAACCGCAUGGUUCAAUAGUGAAAGACGGUUUUGCUGUCACUUAUAGAUGGAUCCGCGCCGCAUUAGCUAGUUGGUAAGGUAACGGCUUACCAAGGCAACGAUGCGUAGCCGACCUGAGAGGGUGAUCGGCGACACUGGAACUGAGACACGGUCCAGACUCCUACGGGAGGCAGCAGUAGGGAAGCGUCCGCAAUGGGCGAAAGCCUGACGGAGCAACGCCGCGUGAGUGAUGAAGGUCUUCGGAUCGUAAAACUCUGUUAUUAGGGAAGAACAAAUGUGUAAGUAACUAUGCACGUCUUGACGGUACCUAAUCAGAAAGCCACGGCUAACUACGUG
Molecule: ribosomal RNA, 497 nt
Filed under: uncultured bacterium
Lineage: Bacteria
Description: partial 16S ribosomal RNA
Rfam family: Bacterial small subunit ribosomal RNA
Source: RNAcentral